UUGAAGAGUUUGAUCAUGGCUCAGAUUGAACGCUGGCGGCAGGCCUAACACAUGCAAGUCGAACGGUAACAGGAAGCAGCUUGCUGCUUUGCUGACGAGUGGCGGACGGGUGAGUAAUGUCUGGGAAACUGCCUGAUGGAGGGGGAUAACUACUGGAAACGGUAGCUAAUACCGCAUAACGUCGCAAGACCAAAGAGGGGGACCUUCGGGCCUCUUGCCAUCGGAUGUGCCCAGAUGGGAUUAGCUUGUUGGUGGGGUAACGGCUCACCAAGGCGACGAUCCCUAGCUGGUCUGAGAGGAUGACCAGCCACACUGGAACUGAGACACGGUCCAGACUCCUACGGGAGGCAGCAGUGGGGAAUAUUGCACAAUGGGCGCAAGCCUGAUGCAGCCAUGCCGCGUGUAUGAAGAAGGCCUUCGGGUUGUAAAGUACUUUCAGCGGGGAGGAAGGGAGUAAAGUUAAUACCUUUACUCAUUGACGUUACCCGCAGAAGAAGCACCGGCUAACUCCGUGCCAGCAGCCGCGGUAAUACGGAGGGUGCAAGCGUUAAUCGGAAUUACUGGGCGUAAAGCGCACGCAGGCGGUUUGUUAAGUCAGAUGUGAAAUCCCCGGGCUCAACCUGGGAACUGCAUCUGAUACUGGCAAGCUUGAGUCUCGUAGAGGGGGGUAGAAUUCCAGGUGUAGCGGUGAAAUGCGUAGAGAUCUGGAGGAAUACCGGUGGCGAAGGCGGCCCCCUGGACGAAGACUGACGCUCAGGUGCGAAAGCGUGGGGAGCAAACAGGAUUAGAUACCCUGGUAGUCCACGCCGUAAACGAUGUCGACUUGGAGGUUGUGCCCUUGAGGCGUGGCUUCCGGAGCUAACGCGUUAAGUCGACCGCCUGGGGAGUACGGCCGCAAGGUUAAAACUCAAAUGAAUUGACGGGGGCCCGCACAAGCGGUGGAGCAUGUGGUUUAAUUCGAUGCAACGCGAAGAACCUUACCUGGUCUUGACAUCCACAGAACUUUCCAGAGAUGGAUUGGUGCCUUCGGGAACUGUGAGACAGGUGCUGCAUGGCUGUCGUCAGCUCGUGUUGUGAAAUGUUGGGUUAAGUCCCGCAACGAGCGCAACCCUUAUCCUUUGUUGCCAGCGGUCCGGCCGGGAACUCAAAGGAGACUGCCAGUGAUAAACUGGAGGAAGGUGGGGAUGACGUCAAGUCAUCAUGGCCCUUACGACCAGGGCUACACACGUGCUACAAUGGCGCAUACAAAGAGAAGCGACCUCGCGAGAGCAAGCGGACCUCAUAAAGUGCGUCGUAGUCCGGAUUGAGUCUGCAACUCGACUCCAUGAAGUCGGAAUCGCUAGUAAUCGUGGAUCAGAAUGCCACGGUGAAUACGUUCCCGGGCCUUGUACACACCGCCCGUCACACCAUGGGAGUGGGUUGCAAAAGAAGUAGGUAGCUUAACCUUCGGGAGGGCGCUUACCACUUUGUGAUUCAUGACUGGGGUGAAGUCGUAACAAGGUAACCGUAGGGGAACCUGCGGUUGGAUCACCUCCUU
Molecule: ribosomal RNA, 1537 nt
Filed under: Escherichia coli
Lineage: Bacteria; Pseudomonadati; Pseudomonadota; Gammaproteobacteria; Enterobacterales; Enterobacteriaceae
Description: bacterial SSU rRNA
Rfam family: Bacterial small subunit ribosomal RNA
Source: RNAcentral